Molecule: long non-coding RNA, 576 nt
Organism: Zingiber officinale
Lineage: Eukaryota; Viridiplantae; Streptophyta; Magnoliopsida; Zingiberales; Zingiberaceae
Exons: 4
Source: RefSeq, a predicted model, not a curated record
AAGCCUCCCGGUUCACCUUCGGCUUCUCUAUUCCUCCCCUGCGCCUCGCGAUCUCAGACGCCACGCGACCGAGACCGGCGAUCGCUUCUUCCCUCGGUGUCGCCGGCGAGGAGCGGAUCUUGGAGCAUCGAAGGGAAGAAAGAUCCUUGAUCGGGGGAUUUCGCCGGCUGUUGGGUGGGAAUCAAGGGAAACGACGUUGGAUCUGGGCAUCGGCGACCGGCUGUGUGAGGUAACGCCCAUUGUUUCCUUCCGAUUUUCCCUUGUUUUGUUCGUCGGCAAGAACAAGUCGAGCCCUAACUUCGAUCUCGGAGAGAUUGGUGUCUUGUUUCUGGCCACCACAGCUGGACUAGAUCAACUCCUCCACCGGAUCUGUGAUCGUACUCUAGCCAAGAUCCUGAGAGAAGCAGAGCUUGUGUUGUGAUUCCGGCCACUACAGCUCUGGUGGGGAUUGCUCUUCUUCCUCAGAUCUGUGGUUUGCUCCGGCGAUCAAGAAGAGGUGUUGGAAGCUUCUUUUAUGUGCGGUUCCAGUGGAGCUAAUUACGGUGGAUUGUGUGGAGCAACAUUGGUUAACAGUGG